RNAcentral lists this ribosomal RNA (1077 nucleotides) under Triticum aestivum (bread wheat). RNAcentral's name for it is "partial small subunit ribosomal RNA". Lineage: Eukaryota; Viridiplantae; Streptophyta; Magnoliopsida; Poales; Poaceae. The record is from RNAcentral.
AUGCUGAGAAUUGAUAUUGGCACACCAAUCACCACAAUAAUGCAGAAUUUGAAGAAGAAAUAUGAAGUAGAGAUCUCAACCCAUAUGGCCUAUAGGGCUAGGAAACAAGCAUUGAAGGUUGUCCAAGGAGACCAGAGAGGUCAAUACACUAGGAUUAGAGAUUAUUUGCAGGCUGUUUUGGACACAAACCCAGGAAGUAGAUGUGUUGUGACCACUAAGCAUUUGCCACAGCACCCAAGCAAGAACCCAAGGUUCCAUGGCCUGUUCUACUGUCUUAAUGCUUGCAAAGAAGGGUUUUUAAAUGGAUGUAGGCCAUUCAUAGGGGUAGAUGGUUGUUUUAUCAAGCUGUCAACAGGUCAGCAGAUCCUUGCUGCAACAGGAAGGGAUGGAAACAACAACAUAUACCCUAUAGCAUUUGGAGUUGUUGACAAAGAGGACACAGACAGCUGGACCUGGUUCUUAACACAACUGAAAGAUGCACUUGGUGGAGAAAGUGGAAAGUUUGGGUAUUAUACUAUCAUUUCUGAUAGGCAGAAGGGCCUUUUAAAUGCAGUAAACCAUGUUUUUCCCAAUUGUCCACAAAGAUUCUGCCUUAGACACAUUUAUCAGAAUUUCCAAACUGCUGGUUUUAGAGGUGAUGAGUUAAAGAAACACAUGGAUGCAGCUAGCUACUCUUAUACUAAGAAUGAACACCUAGUUGCAAUGAAUGAUUUGAAAAGCGAGUGUAAGGCAGCUUGGGCAUGGCUUAAUAAAGUACCAGUUCAUACAUGGGCUAGACAUGCAAUGGAUUUUACAUGCAAGACUGACCUAGUUGUGAACAACAUCAGUGAGGUGUUUAACAAAAUGAUCCUAGAUGUUAGAGGGAAGCCAAUAAAGACCAUGCUGGAAGGAAUUAGGACUAAAUUGAUGGUCAAAUUUAACACCAAUAGAACUAAGACAGAGACAGCAAAUUGGGAGAUUUGCCCAACAUAUGCAGAGAUGUUAGAGGAGGCAAAGUACAACUCAAGGUGGUGCCAAUCUUUGAUGGCUGGUCCUAACAUUUACCAAGUUAGUGUAGUGGAGAUAACACCUACUUAG